GAUGAACGCUGGCGGCGUGCCUAAUACAUGCAAGUCGAGCGAACAGACGAGGAGCUUACUCCUCUGACGUUAGCGGCGGACGGGUGAGUAACACGUGGAUAACCUACCUAUAAGACUGGGAUAACUUCGGGAAACCGGAGCUAAUACCGGAUAACAUGUUGAACCGCAUGGUUCAACAGUGAAAGACGGUCUUGCUGUCACUUAUAGAUGGAUCCGCGUCGCAUUAGCUAGUUGGUAAGGUAACGGCUUACCAAGGCAACGAUGCGUAGCCGACCUGAGAGGGUGAUCGGACACACUGGAACUGAGACACGGUCCAGACUCCUACGGGAGGCAGCAGUAGGGAAUCUUCCGCAAUGGGCGAAAGCCUGACGGAGCAACGCCGCGUGAGUGAAGAAGGUCUUCGGAUCGUAAAACUCUGUUAUUAGGGAAGAACAAAUGUGUAAGUAACUAUGCACGUCUUGACGGUACCUAAUCAGAAAGCCACGGCUAACUACGUG
This 497-nucleotide ribosomal RNA is filed under the name uncultured bacterium. RNAcentral describes it as "partial 16S ribosomal RNA". It matches the Rfam family "Bacterial small subunit ribosomal RNA", at positions 28 to 507 of the family's 1533-position model. The record is from RNAcentral.